RNAcentral lists this ribosomal RNA (492 nucleotides) under uncultured bacterium. RNAcentral describes it as "partial 16S ribosomal RNA". It matches the Rfam family "Bacterial small subunit ribosomal RNA", at positions 29 to 507 of the family's 1533-position model. The record is from RNAcentral.
AGUGAACGCUGGCGGUAGGCCUAACACAUGCAAGUCGAACGGCAGCACAGUAAGAGCUUGCUCUUACGGGUGGCGAGUGGCGGACGGGUGAGGAAUACAUCGGAAUCUACUUUUUCGUGGGGGAUAACGUAGGGAAACUUACGAUAAUACCGCAUACGACCUACGGGUGAAAGCAGGGGAUCUUCGGACCUUGCUCGAUUGAAUGAGCCGAUGUCGGAUUAGCGAGUUGGCGGGGUAAAGGCCCACCAAGGCGACGAUCCGUAGCUGGUCUGAGAGGAUGGUCAGCCACACUGGAACUGAGACACGGUCCAGACUCCUACGGGAGGCAGCAGUGGGGAAUAUUGGACAAUGGGCGCAAGCCUGAUCCAGCCAUACCGCGUGGGUGAAGAAGGCCUUCGGGUUGUAAAGCCCUUUUGUUGGGAAAGAAAAGCAGCAGGUUAAUACCCCGCUGUUCUGACGGUACCCAAAGAAUAAGCACCGGCUAACUUCGUG